UCCGAGUUGACCCCGGCAGUCUCCUAUGAGUCCCCGACAUUACUCGCUGGCAACAUAGGACGAGGGUUGCGCUCGUUGCGGAACUUAACCCAACAUCUCACGACACGAGCUGACGACAGCCAUGCAGCACCUGUGCAUCCUUCCCUUGCGGGAUCGUCCCACUUUCAUGGUUCUACUAAAUGCAUGUCAAGGCCAGGUAAGGUUCUUCGCGUUGCAUCGAAUUAAGCCACAUACUCCACCGCUUGUGCAGGCCCCCGUCAAUUCCUUUGAGUUUUAGCCUUGCGGCCGUACUCCCCAGGCGGGGCGCUUAAUGCGUUAGCUGCGGCACGGAGAACGUGGAAGGUUCCCCACACCUAGCGCCCAACGUUUACGGCGUGGACUAC
RNAcentral lists this unclassified non-coding RNA (383 nucleotides) under uncultured Actinomycetes bacterium. RNAcentral's name for it is "uncultured actinobacterium contains 16S-23S intergenic spacer region". The record is from RNAcentral. Lineage: Bacteria; Bacillati; Actinomycetota; Actinomycetes.